RNAcentral lists this ribosomal RNA (818 nucleotides) under Staphylococcus aureus. RNAcentral's name for it is "partial 23S ribosomal RNA". It matches the Rfam family "Bacterial large subunit ribosomal RNA", at positions 513 to 1339 of the family's 2925-position model. Lineage: Bacteria; Bacillati; Bacillota; Bacilli; Caryophanales; Staphylococcaceae. The record is from RNAcentral.
GGUGAAAAGCACCCCGGAAGGGGAGUGAAAUAGAACCUGAAACCGUGUGCUUACAAGUAGUCAGAGCCCGUUAAUGGGUGAUGGCGUGCCUUUUGUAGAAUGAACCGGCGAGUUACGAUUUGAUGCAAGGUUAAGCAGUAAAUGUGGAGCCGUAGCGAAAGCGAGUCUGAAUAGGGCGUUUAGUAUUUGGUCGUAGACCCGAAACCAGGUGAUCUACCCUUGGUCAGGUUGAAGUUCAGGUAACACUGAAUGGAGGACCGAACCGACUUACGUUGAAAAGUGAGCGGAUGAACUGAGGGUAGCGGAGAAAUUCCAAUCGAACCUGGAGAUAGCUGGUUCUCUCCGAAAUAGCUUUAGGGCUAGCCUCAAGUGAUGAUUAUUGGAGGUAGAGCACUGUUUGGACGAGGGGCCCCUCUCGGGUUACCGAAUUCAGACAAACUCCGAAUGCCAAUUAAUUUAACUUGGGAGUCAGAACAUGGGUGAUAAGGUCCGUGUUCGAAAGGGAAACAGCCCAGACCACCAGCUAAGGUCCCAAAAUAUAUGUUAAGUGGAAAAGGAUGUGGCGUUGCCCAGACAACUAGGAUGUUGGCUUAGAAGCAGCCAUCAUUUAAAGAGUGCGUAAUAGCUCACUAGUCGAGUGACACUGCGCCGAAAAUGUACCGGGGCUAAACAUAUUACCGAAGCUGUGGAUUGUCCUUUGGACAAUGGUAGGAGAGCGUUCUAAGGGCGUUGAAGCAUGAUCGUAAGGACAUGUGGAGCGCUUAGAAGUGAGAAUGCCGGUGUGAGUAGCGAAAGACGGGUGAGAAUCCCGUCCACCG